Sorghum bicolor (sorghum) is the source of this 570-nucleotide long non-coding RNA. RefSeq lists it as uncharacterized. The transcript is spliced from 3 exons. Lineage: Eukaryota; Viridiplantae; Streptophyta; Magnoliopsida; Poales; Poaceae. The record is from RefSeq and is a predicted model, not a curated record.
GCAUACAGGAGUUGCACAAUAUUUCCAGUUUACAUCGGUCUACAGGGCACAACAGUACAGGUGUCUGCAGCAUGUAGAGAAAAAAAUGAGGCAGCUGUGAUGAAAAUUUCUCUAAAGAUGUGGCUUCCAAAAUUCAGUCUUGCCUUUAUCAACAUUUCUUGAGGAGGGAGAUCAAGGUCCCAGUCUAUUUGCAAGAGAUUCCAGCAGGCUUGGCUAAAGGUACAAGUAAAGAACAGAUGCAAGCAUGUUUCUUCUGGCGAAAGAGUGCAGAGGGCACAUGAAUAGCUGUCCAGGUGCAUCCUUUUCCUUUUAAGAAGGUUUCUGGUGCUCAGGCGGUCUCUAACUAGCAACAGGAAGAUGCUUCCCCAAGUGUAUUCCCAGGAGUCAGGACUUCAGGAGUUUCCUGGCUCUCCAGGCUCGAAGUUAGGAGCACAUCUAGUUCAAACAACUGCAGUCAAAUGAACAUCAUUUAGAUUAAUUCCAACCCUCAAUCCCCACUAAAUGAACGAGGCCUACAAGUAUAAACUUGCUAGCAUUUCUAUACUCGCUAAUCUCACGCUCACCUCCAAC